CCAGUUACGCGUUUUUCAUACGUGCGUACACGCACGUAAAAGUUGAAUUCGCUUAAAAUUUCAUAUAAGUGCAAAUAACCUUAACAAAUACACAUUAAAUCAUACUCAAAAAACCUUUUAUAAAUUUAGUUAUUUCAUAAGUAGGAUGUAAAGCGAAUUCAACUUUUACGUGCGUGUACGUACGUAUGAAAAACGCGUAACUGG
RNAcentral lists this microRNA precursor (204 nucleotides) under Paramuricea clavata. The record is from RNAcentral. Lineage: Eukaryota; Metazoa; Cnidaria; Anthozoa; Malacalcyonacea; Plexauridae.